UACGGCCAUAUCACGUCGAAAUACAGCUUCUACUAAGAUCACCGAAGUUAAGCAAUGUUGUGCCUGGUCAGUACAUAGAUAGGUGACUGGUUAGGAAUAUCAGAUGUUGCAAGC
Molecule: non-coding RNA, 114 nt
Organism: Acanthosepion pharaonis
Lineage: Eukaryota; Metazoa; Mollusca; Cephalopoda; Sepiida; Sepiidae
Source: the annotation of a GenBank genome assembly